This is a long non-coding RNA of Salvia splendens (bonfire salvia), 944 nucleotides long. RefSeq lists it as uncharacterized. Lineage: Eukaryota; Viridiplantae; Streptophyta; Magnoliopsida; Lamiales; Lamiaceae. The transcript is spliced from 2 exons. The record is from RefSeq and is a predicted model, not a curated record.
CUCUGCCUCUCACUAAAUCUCACAUCUCUCUCUCCCUCUGCCUUUCUUCUACAAUUGAAGACAUAUCAUUCAUUCAACACCAAGCUCUCCCUCAAUCCAUUUCUCUCGGCGUUAUCACCACGCCUUUGUCACACAGCAGAACUAAGAUUGAAAGAGAAAACAAGAGAACAAGUUCUAAUGAUAUUAAAGUUUGCAACUUUAUCAAGAACGAAUCAGUCAAAAAAUUUCCAAACAUUCACCAAGGGCCUAAUUUCGAUUUCGUGAACUACUAUGAUUAUGUGAAAGCAUGACAUAGGAUUGAAUGCAGAGACUUUCAUAAAAUUGUGGAUAUACCUUCCGGAAGAAGCAAAAACCUGCAGAAGAGGAUGUAUUGAAAAAGAUCACAACUCACUUAAUUUCUCCUUCACACUGUGAUUUCGAGAAUUUGUGUUAUGGAAUCAAAAGUAUAGAGAUUUUUCAUUAUUCAAGGGAUUGAGGAGAAUUUACCUUUGUGAAAGAGAAGAAAACUGCAUAAGAAUUUUGGAACGGCGGAUGCUAACCGUUGAGGUUGUGGGGAGGGAUAUAUGUAUAACAAAUUGACUUGUUUGUUGGAGAAAUUUCAGGGGAUGGGGAUAUUGCUGAUGCAACGUGUGAGAUGGAAUUUGGAGAAGGAUAUGUUGACCAAUAAAUGACUGAUAAAAUAAGUGGGAUCAUGGGAAACCGAUUUCAUGGAAUGGGGAGUAGAGACCGAUUUGUUCUCUUCUUCCGGAUUUUGUGGAACAGAUUUGACAAACAAACACAUGACAAAAUCAGGAAAUUAAUUGGGCUGGUUUGCAGAAAAUAAUGAAGUUAAAUUAGGGUUCAAAAGAAUAAAUGGGCUUCCUCGAGAAAAUCAGUUGGGCUUGUAAAAGAAUAAAUUUAAUAGGUCCAAAUAUGUAUUUUUUUCAAUAAGGAAACAAAGGCGA